Molecule: small nuclear RNA, 162 nt
Filed under: Jaculus jaculus (lesser Egyptian jerboa)
Lineage: Eukaryota; Metazoa; Chordata; Mammalia; Rodentia; Dipodidae
Description: U1 spliceosomal RNA (ENSJJAG00000002552.1)
Rfam family: U1 spliceosomal RNA
About the family: U1 is a small nuclear RNA (snRNA) component of the spliceosome (involved in pre-mRNA splicing).
Source: Rfam by way of RNAcentral
AUAUUUACCUGGCAGGAGAGAUAUCAUGAUUAUGAAGAUGGUUUUCCCAAGGUGAGGCUUAUCCAUUGCACUGUGUAUGUGCUGUCCCCUAUGAUUUUCUCAAAUGCGGGAAACUCGACUGCAUAAUUUGUGGUAGUGGGGGACUGUAUUUAUGCUCUCACA